CCUACGGGGGGCAGCAGUGGGGAAUAUUGGACAAUGGGCGGAAGCCUGAUCCAGCCAUGCCGCGUGUGUGAAGAAGGCCUUUUGGUUGUAAAGCACUUUAAGCGAGGAGGAGGCUACUUAGAUUAAUACUCUAGGAUAGUGGACGUUACUCGCAGAAUAAGCACCGGCUAACUCUGUGCCAGCAGCCGCGGUAAUACAGAGGGUGCGAGCGUUAAUCGGAUUUACUGGGCGUAAAGCGUGCGUAGGCGGCUUUUUAAGUCGGAUGUGAAAUCCCCGAGCUUAACUUGGGAAUUGCAUUCGAUACUGGGAAGCUAGAGUAUGGGAGAGGAUGGUAGAAUUCCAGGUGUAGCGGUGAAAUGCGUAGAGAUCUGGAGGAAUACCGAUGGCGAAGGCAGCCAUCUGGCCUAAUACUGACGCUGAGGUACGAAAGCAUGGGGAGCAAACAGGAUUAGAUACCCCAGUAGUC
This 466-nucleotide ribosomal RNA is filed under the name uncultured bacterium. RNAcentral's name for it is "bacterial SSU rRNA". It matches the Rfam family "Bacterial small subunit ribosomal RNA", at positions 338 to 795 of the family's 1533-position model. The record is from RNAcentral.